RNAcentral lists this transfer RNA (72 nucleotides) under Lingula anatina. It matches the Rfam family "tRNA". From Rfam's summary of the family: Transfer RNA (tRNA) molecules are approximately 80 nucleotides in length. Their secondary structure includes four short double-helical elements and three loops (D, anti-codon, and T loops). Lineage: Eukaryota; Metazoa; Brachiopoda; Lingulata; Lingulida; Lingulidae. The record is from Rfam by way of RNAcentral.
UGGGGCAUAGCCAAGUGGAAAGGCAAUGGGUUUUGGUCCCAUGAUACGAUAGUUCGAAUCUGUCUGCCCCAG